CUCAGUCACUACUGUUGACACUUGUCACAAAUACAGGAAAGUGGUAAUACUGACAUUGAGGAAGUAUGACUCCACUAAUGCAUGUUAUGGUGGAACAACCUCCCUCUUGAAUUGGUGUAACUUCGGUCGAAAGUCGAUGUUGGGAUGAACGUUACAGCCUUGUAGUCUGCACAGAUAGCACGGUUAGUCACCCAAUAUGGCCAUCUAACUGUUGCACUAAGUGGAUUCAGUUUCUCUUCCUUUUGUCUCCGUGCAACACUCAUUUGAUGUCCCAUAUUAUGUUCAGGUUUAUGCAGAGGGGCCAGCUCGGCCUAUGGGUGGAGCUGCUACAGUUGCUAUGUGAGUAUCUUCUCUCUAUGUAACUACACCAUUGGUAAUUUGUAUUCUUUCACUAUUUGUCAUACAGUUCCACCAAAUGUCACAAGUACCUAACACAAACCAAGGGCUUCCUUUAAUAGCUAUAAGUUUUACAUCACCGAGAAACAAAUUCUACAAUAAUGUUGGUAAGCAUCAUAUUCACAUGCCACAGCCAAAAAGAGCAAGCACAUAGUAUUCUAAGAAUGGCCCAUAAAACUAAGCGAUGUAGCAGAGGAAGGUGGCAAACCUUAAUCACAGCACGACAUCCGCUGGCUACUGAUGGAUUGAACAAUACCUGGAAGAAGAACAUAGCAAUACACACAUCAAAAAGAGGCCAAGACAUGGACUGGAUCAAAUGCAUAUCCUACCGGAAAAGAAACAAUAGUUGGAGGUUCGCCAUCAUGGAAGGAGGUGGAUAACAACUUCUUGUUAGAUUUUAUUGGCCACCGCAGAAAUAAAUAGAAAUCGUAACAUCCCCAUGAUUGAUAACAGGAAAUAAUAACUUACCUUCAAAUCUCAGAGAGAGUGGCACACAUAGAGAGUGAGAGAGAGAGGGAGACUUAGACACCAUUCAUCGCAGUAAAAAUGAGUGCACGCCGCAGAACUGAUCAUAUGGGAAGAAUACCCUUCGAAAUUAUAUCCCAAAAGCUAGGCGCAGCCAAUAUAAAUAUACAAUUGUCAGAUAUUAUAAAAUGGUAUUAUAGGUGUGCUAAUGCCUAAAGUGCCAGAACAAAUCAUGCUCAUAUGCACAUGAGCACAUCACAACACAGACAUGCAUAAACACAUCGCAAAUUUCUGAAGAAAAGGGUUGGGGCGUCACAAGACCACAUGAUUUUCAUAGGAAAGACUUCUGGUCAUGUGUCACCUAAAAGUAUAUACAUGCAAGAACCUUUUCUCUCUUGAUCUUGGAAACAUCUACCUGCCUGGGAAGAUGCUAGAAGCAUGAUCCAGGCGAGAGGAAAAUUAUUUUUUCCCUAAGAAGCUACAGAGAGAGAGAGAAGUGAGCCAGUGAUCCUCGCCUAGCUAGUGCACACACACACACACACACACAUCAAGCCAACACACCAUAAACGCAGCAGCAGCACGCAAGCCACAAAUAGGCGUGUGGCGCAACGCACGGGGAAGACAGAGACACAACCAAUAGAGUGAGGAGCAAAUAGCCACGCUUGCCGUCGAGCCGUUCACACUAAAAGGGAUAAAAGAGUAGGACGUUUCUAUUCUCAAACCUUCCCAUCAUAGGGAGUAAUUAUCAAACAGAGAAACAAAAGGAAAAGAAAAGCAAGAAGUUCCCUUCCUCCAUCCGUUUUUUUAUUUUCUUUCACUUAUAUACAUCAGACUAACACACAAGCACUUUAACUAUUAUAAACAUAAUUCCCAAUUCAAGAACACGGUUGAAUAUUAGAGCACCACAUACUACUCUUCGUAAAGUAAAACCGGGCAUGCCAAGUCAUGACUGACAUACGAAGCUCAGGAAGGAUUUGAUUGUGCUAUUAGUCAGUAGGUACAUUACAGAGCUUGUUCAUGCUAAGAACAUCUGUUAUUAGAUUCUUAUAACCACACUUCAUGUUUCUAUUUUCUAAAUUAAAAUAAGCUAUCUCACUACAGUAAAAAAAUAAACACAUAUAUAGCUGACAUAAUUACCUCGCGAAGCUAUUAGCAAGGUAGUAGCAAAAUAUUAUGCUAUCCUAAUCAUAUUGCCAAAUUACAAUUGACCGAUUCUAGUCUAGGUUUUAAAUUUCAAAAGGGAGAACAACUCACCAUGCUCUUUGAUUUCUUCUUGGACCCAUGUUUCCUAUCACCAGUCCCCUCCCUGCCGCACGAAUCCUCAUUGAUCUAUGCAAAUCUUUAAACGAAAGCAUCCAAAUAACCAAUAUGUAUCUUCAAAAUAGAAAAAUCAAAUUCAUAAAAGCUAUCUAAUUGAUGGAAG
Molecule: long non-coding RNA, 2284 nt
Filed under: Triticum aestivum (bread wheat)
Lineage: Eukaryota; Viridiplantae; Streptophyta; Magnoliopsida; Poales; Poaceae
Description: long non-coding RNA (TAES_LNC024377)
Source: RNAcentral